RNAcentral lists this ribosomal RNA (468 nucleotides) under uncultured bacterium. RNAcentral's name for it is "partial 16S ribosomal RNA". It matches the Rfam family "Bacterial small subunit ribosomal RNA", at positions 28 to 507 of the family's 1533-position model. The record is from RNAcentral.
GACGAACGCUGGCGGCGUGCUUAACACAUGCAAGUCGAACGGAAAGGCCCUGCUUUUGUGGGGUGCUCGAGUGGCGAACGGGUGAGUAACACGUGAGUAACCUGCCCUUGACUUUGGGAUAACUUCAGGAAACUGGGGCUAAUACCGGAUAGGAGCUCCUGCUGCAUGGUGGGGGUUGGAAAGUUUCGGCGGUUGGGGAUGGACUCGCGGCUUAUCAGCUUGUUGGUGGGGUAGUGGCUUACCAAGGCUUUGACGGGUAGCCGGCCUGAGAGGGUGACCGGCCACAGUGGGACUGAGACACGGCCCAGACUCCUACGGGAGGAAGCAGUGGGGAAUAUUGCACAAUGGGCGGAAGCCUGAUGCAGCGACGCCGCGUGAGGGAUGACGGCCUUCGGGUUGUAAACCUCUUUCAGUAGGGAAGAAGCGAAAGUGACGGUACGGGCAGAAGAAGCACCGGCUAACUACGUG